Homo sapiens (human) is the source of this 2147-nucleotide long non-coding RNA. RefSeq lists it as uncharacterized. NCBI's taxonomy places the organism in Eukaryota, Metazoa, Chordata, Mammalia, Primates, Hominidae. The transcript is spliced from 2 exons. The record is from RefSeq and is a predicted model, not a curated record.
CUCCUCAACUCAAGCAGUCCUCCAGUCUUGGCUUCCCAAAGUGCUGGGAUUUUUGGCUAGGCUUUGGCACAAGCCACCAGGUGCCUGGCCUAGCCAACAUCUUUUAAAUUUCCCCUGUUCCUUGGGUCAGGAACUACCAAUGGAGAAAAUAGGUCCUGUUCUUGGCAUGCAGAAACCUGGAGAACUCAGAAACACCGUUACCACUUCUUAUUUGUCUAAACUCAGAGUUCCUUUUUCAAUGACCCACUAAAAUGUCCAGGGUUUAGUUUUCCCCAAGUAAUGACCCUUUUUCCAAGAGUUCUAACUCUCUGGUCAAUAUGUUUCAGAUAAGUCAUUUUGUAACAGAGGACAGAUUUCAUAAAGCUACCCCAGUGUCAUCUCUUUCUCUCACAGUUAGUUCAUCAGUUCUUAAAUCCAUCAUUUUAUUGAAGACUGCUCAAAAUCAUUGUCUCACAGUGAGACCUAAUGUGAAAUCUAUUUAAAGUUGCAAAGCCCUUGACAAGAGCACUACAGAUACCACAUCCUAUUGCAGCCCUUUUAGUUUGUUGCUUUUGUUUUAUUGGUUUUACAUUUAUCCUCUAGUAACUGCUACCUUUUUGCUACAUUAAAACUGCUGGUUUACUUCCUUUUUUUGACUGCGUGUUUACUUCCUUUUCCCUAGUCCAGAGCAUAAUCUCUUACCGGUAUUUAAUGUUGAUUAUAUAUCGAAUAGAUAGUUUUUUUGUUUUUGUUUUUGUUUUUUUACUAUACCUGUAUGCUUUUGUUUUGUGAAUUUAGUCAAAAAUAUUUUUCAAAAAUUAAAAGUACAGUUUUAUUUAUUGGGUCCUGUACUAGACUUGACAAUGAAUAAAUACUAGAUAUGGACCUUGACAAGAUGUGCGGUACAGACACAUAAGGAGACAGUUACCUGGACCUCUGAAAAGUGAAACAAAGAAAAGGACACAUCAGAAUAUGGGUGACAUAGGCAUCAAGGUACAAAAUGCUCAGCGAUAAGAUCGAGAUAAGACUCAGGAGAAAUUACCAACUCCUUGCCUUAGCUCUGUGCAAGGGAAAAUUGAGUAGGGAGUUGAGGUAACUCAUGAUGAAAAGGUGUACCUAGAAUAAUAGCAACUUCUAAAACAGGAGUGGAUACCAGAGGUUCAUUGGGUGCUACAGAAGUUGAGGGAGGAGACCACCUCUCAUAUUGUCUUAUGCCCAAUUUCUGCCUCCAAAGAAAGAAAAAGUAAAAACUAAAAGGCAGAAAUGAAAUCCACAAGCAGACAGCCCGGGGCCACACCCUGGACCUGGUAGUUAAAGAUGGACCCCUGACCUAAUUGGUUUGUUAUCUAUAGAUUCCAGACAUUGUAUAGAAAAGCACUGUGAAAAUCCCUACUCUGUUUUGUUCCGAUCUAAUUACCGGUGUAUGCAGCCCCCAGUCACGUACCCCCUGCUUGCUCAAUCGAUCACGACCCUCUCACGCGGACCCCCUUAGAGUUGUGAGCCCUUAAAAGGGACAGGAAUUGCUCACUCGAGGAGCUCGGCUCUUGAGACAGGAGUCUUGCCUAUGCCCCUGGCCGAAUAAACCCCUUCCUUCUUUACCUCGGUGUCUGAGGAGUUUUUUCUGUGGCUGGUCCUGCUACAAAGGAAGAGUAAGCUGUGGGUACUCAGAAGAACAAGUUCCCUGUGACUGGACCUUCAGAGACAAGAGACCAAAGUGGAGCUGCAGAGAUGAGCAGCAGUCUGCCCGUCCUGCGGCCUCUCUCCUCGGACUAACCAGAGGGCUGCUAAUUUAUCAGGAAAGCUAUGGACAGCAUCCAAAAAGUUACCAGAAGGCAAGUAAAAGGAUAACCUUCAAAAGGGCCUUACUUCUGAAGACUGAGUACCUAAGACUCCUUCGCCUCAUACCCAGAUCCAGAUAAGGGCUCUCAUCCCUGCUGAACCUCAUCAUGAGGUUGCUUUAUGAAAAGUGAAAACAAAGCUUCAUUGCACAGGCUUCUUCGGGAGAAAGGAGGAAGGAAUUUGCUGCCUCUGAAUAAAAGAAAAUUCUGAUCCACGUUGGCAAAAUGGAAAAAUCAAAAUGACAGAAUAGGAAUGUGGGUGUGCUCUCAUGGCGACUGGCAAAGAAGAAGCACCCCUCUGCACAGAAAUAAAAUUGCUUUGCUGAGAAA